AGUGAACGCUGGCGGUAGGCCUAACACAUGCAAGUCGAACGGCAGCACAGUAAGAGCUUGCUCUUACGGGUGGCGAGUGGCGGACGGGUGAGGAAUACAUCGGAAUCUACUUUUUCGUGGGGGAUAACGUAGGGAAACUUACGCUAAUACCGCAUACGACCUACGGGUGAAAGCAGGGGAUCUUCGGACCUUGCGCGAUUGAAUGAGCCGAUGUCGGAUUAGCUAGUUGGCGGGGUAAAGGCCCACCAAGGCGACGAUCCGUAGCUGGUCUGAGAGGAUGAUCAGCCACACUGGAACUGAGCCACGGUCCAGACUCCUACGGGAGGCAGCAGUGGGGAAUAUUGGACAAUGGUCGCGAGCCUGAUCCAGCCAUACCGCGUGGGUGAAGAAGGCCUUCGGGUUGUAAAGCCCUUUUGUUGGGAAAGAAAAGCAGCAGGUUAAUACCCCGCUGUUCUGACGGUACCCAAAGAAUAAGCACCGGCUAACUUCGUG
This 492-nucleotide ribosomal RNA is filed under the name uncultured bacterium. RNAcentral's name for it is "partial 16S ribosomal RNA". It matches the Rfam family "Bacterial small subunit ribosomal RNA", at positions 29 to 507 of the family's 1533-position model. The record is from RNAcentral.